UAUCGAGUGUGUGCAGUUCUAAAUCCAGCAACUUCAUUUGGAGGAACAGCAUCAGAAAUCUCCUUUAACUCUUCUUUUGUGAGACUAACUCUCAAAGCUCCAAUAUUGUCUUUGAGAUUUUUAAUCUUUGUUGUCCCUGGGAUUGGAACAACAUCAUCCCCUUGAUUAAUAACCCAUGCAAGGGCAAGCUGAGGAGGAGUACAUCCAUAUUUUUUGGCUAAAUUUUCUAUUCGAGUAUACAAUAACUUAUUCUUUUCCAAAUUUUCUUCAGUGAACCUUGGUUGGAAUUUCAGCAGAGUCUCUGAAGGUAAACUUUCCACAACCGC
This 326-nucleotide unclassified non-coding RNA is filed under the name Hevea brasiliensis (rubber tree). Lineage: Eukaryota; Viridiplantae; Streptophyta; Magnoliopsida; Malpighiales; Euphorbiaceae. The record is from RNAcentral.